Molecule: ribosomal RNA, 497 nt
Filed under: uncultured bacterium
Lineage: Bacteria
Description: partial 16S ribosomal RNA
Rfam family: Bacterial small subunit ribosomal RNA
Source: RNAcentral
GAUGAACGCUGGCGGCAUGCCUAAUACAUGCAAGUCGAGCGAAGGGGUGAGCAGCUUGCAUAUAUGAUAAUAGUAGCGAACGGGUGAGUAACACGUGGGGAACCUGCCUAUGAGAGUGGGAUGACUUUCGGAAACGGAUGCUAAUACCGCAUAAUGUUUUGAACCGCCUGGUUCAGAGAUGAAAGACGGUCUUGCCGUCAAUUCUUGAUUGAUCCGCGCUGUAUUAGCUAGUUGGUUAGGUAAUGGCUCACCAAAGCUUCGAUACGUAGCCGACCUGAGAGGGUGAUCGGCCACACUGGGACUGAGACACGGCCCAGACUCCUACGGGAGGCAGCAGUAGGGAAUCUUCCACAAUGGGCGAAAGCCUGAUGGAGCAAUGCCGCGUGAAUGAAGAAGGUCUUCGGAUCGUAAAGUUCUGUUAUUAGAGAAGAACAAGUCAAGGAAUAACUGUGUUGACUUUGACGGUACCUAACCAGAAAGUCACGGCUAACUACGUG